AACGAACGCUGGCGGCGCGCCUAAUACAUGCAAGUCGAGCGAGAAGGUGUAGCAAUACACUUGUAAAGCGGCGAACGGGUGAGGAAUGCAUGGGUAACCUACCCUCGAGUGGGGAAUAACUAGCCGAAAGGUUAGCUAAUACCGCAUACGUUUCCGGAACUUCGGUUUCGGAAAGAAAGCAAUACCGUGGGUAUUGCGCUCCUGGAUGGGCUCAUGUCCUAUCAGCUUGUUGGUGAGGUAACGGCUCACCAAGGCUUCGACGGGUAGCUGGUCUGAGAGGACGAUCAGCCACACUGGCACUGCGACACGGGCCAGACUCCUACGGGAGGCAGCAGUAAGGAAUAUUGCGCAAUGGACGAAAGUCUGACGCAGCGACGCCGCGUGGGGGGAUGAAAGGGUCUUCGGGAUUGUAAACCCCUUUCGGGAGGGAAGAUGGAGUGGGUAACCACUUGGACGGUACCUCCAGAAGCAGCCACGGCUAACUUCGUGCCAGCAGCCGCGGUAAU
This 506-nucleotide ribosomal RNA is filed under the name uncultured bacterium. RNAcentral describes it as "bacterial SSU rRNA". It matches the Rfam family "Bacterial small subunit ribosomal RNA", at positions 29 to 524 of the family's 1533-position model. The record is from RNAcentral.